UCAAGCUACAAAGGGCGCAUGGUGAAUGCCUUGGCAUCAGGAGCCGAUGAAGGACGUGAUAAGCUGCGAUAAGCUUCGGGUAGGCGCACAUAGCCAGUGAUCCGGAGAUUUCCGAAUGAGGGAACUCACAUGGGAAACCCCAUGUACCGUAUAGUGAAUACAUAGCUAUAUGGAGGUAAACCUAGGGAACUGAAACAUCUAAGUACCUAGAGGAAGAGAAAGAAAAAUCGAUUUUCUGAGUAGCGGCGAGCGAAAGGGAAAGAGCCCAAACCAGUGACUUGUCACUGGGGUUGCGGACAGAACAUUAACGAGAAGAUGUUGUUAACCGAACAUAACUGGAAAGUUAGACCGUAGGAGGUAAUAGUCCUGUAGGUGAAAGCGACAUUGAUCAAGUUCUGAUCCAGAGUACCACGAGACACGUGAAACCUUGUGGGAAGCAGGGAGGACCACCUCCCAAGGCUAAAUACUACCUGAUGACCGAUAGUGAAGCAGUACCGUGAGGGAAAGGUGAAAAGAACCCCGGGAGGGGAGUGAAAUAGAACCUGAAACCGUGUGCCUACAACCGGUCAAAGCCCCUUAUGAGGGUGAUGACGUGCUUUUUGUAGAACGAGCCAACGAGUUACGGUAUGUAGCAAGGUUAAGUACUUAAGGUACGGAGCCGAAGGGAAACCGAGUCUUAAUAGGGCCGUCGGAUAUGUGUAGUGGAGGUAGAGCACUGAAUGGGCUAGGGGGCAUAUCGCUUACCGAACCUUAUCAAACUCCGAAUGCCAUAUACAUUAAGUCCGGCAGUCAGACUACGAAUGAUAAGAUCCGUGGUCAAAAGGGAAACAGCCCAGACCGUCAGCUAAGGUCCCAAAGUGUAAGUUAAGUGGAAAAGGAUGUGGGAUUUCUAAGACAACUAGGAUGUUGGCUUAGAAGCAGCCACUCAUUUAAAGAGUGCGUAAUAGCUCACUAGUCGAGAGAUCCUGCGCCGAAAAUGUACCGGGGCUAAACUUACCACCGAAGCUACGGAUUUGCAAGUAAUUGCAAGUGGUAGGGGAGCGUCGUAAUCGGGCUGAAGUCGUACCGGAAGGAGCGGUGGACUGAUUACGAGUGAGAAUGUUGGCAUUAGUAGCGAGAUGUAGGUGAGAAUCCUACAGGCCGAAUAUCUAAGGUUUCCUCAGGAAGGCUCGUCCGCUGAGGGUUAGUCGGGACCUAAGCCGAGGCCGAAAGGCGUAGGCGAUGGACAAUCGGUUGAUAUUCCGAUACCACUACCAUCGUUAUUAUCGAGGGUGUGACGGAGAAGGAUAGUGUGUGCUAGCGAUUGGAAAUGCUAGUCUAAGCGUUUAGGGAGUUACGGUAGGCAAAUCCGCUGUAACAAUUCUGAGGCGUGAUGGGGAAGGUCAUUAAGACCGAAGUACAUGAUUCCAUGCUUCCAAGAAAAGCAUCUAGAGAGAGAAGUAGUGCCCGUACCGCAAACCGACACAGGUAGAUGAGGAGAGAAUCCUAAGGCCGGCGGAAGAAUUGCAGUUAAGGAACUAGGCAAAUUGACCCCGUAAGUUCGCGAGAAGGGGUGCCUGCGAGAGCAGGCCGCAGAGAAUAGGCCCAAGCAACUGUUUAGCAAAAACACAGGUCUCUGCUAAAGCGUAAGCUGAUGUAUAGGGGCUGACGCCUGCCCGGUGCUGGAAGGUUAAGGGGAACACUUAGCGCAAGCGAAGGUGUGAACUUAAGCCCCAGUAAACGGCGGCCGUACCUAUAACGGUCCUAAGGUUGCGAAAUUCCUUGUCAGGUAAGUGCUGUCCCGCACGAAUGGCGUAUUGACUUGGGCACUGUCUCAACUGCAAAUCCGGCGAAGUUGUAGUGCGAGUGAAGAUGCUCGCUACCCGCGAUUGGACGGAAAGACCCCGUAGAGCUUUACUGUAGCUUAGCAUUGAAUUCCGGUAUUGUCUGUAC
RNAcentral lists this ribosomal RNA (1932 nucleotides) under human gut metagenome. Its description in RNAcentral is "bacterial LSU rRNA". It matches the Rfam family "Bacterial large subunit ribosomal RNA", at positions 3 to 2139 of the family's 2925-position model. The record is from RNAcentral.